UCAUACUCGUUUCUCUCUCUGUUCUCGUUUUUUUAAUUUCCUCCCUGCUAACGAGUAUCCUUUUAUACACGUAUUACCAACGAGGCGAGCGAAUUCCCGCGAAUAGACUCGAAAUUAUUCAAAUUGUAGUUUACGAAAUGAAUUAUUCAAUUAUUUCCCGAAGAAGCGGUCGCCACGCUCCACGGCAUACGGAACGAGAACCGCGGCUUUCGUCCGUGUCUUUACAAAUUUACGCUCUCACUGAAUUUUGAUCGCGUUGGAAUUCCCGAAAACUCCUUUUCCUCGCUACUAUCGUCGUCCUCGUUCAUUUUUACGAGAAAGUUUCCUUACCCUGUUCUGGAACUGUAUUCCGAAUCAAAUAGUAUUCAAUUACGAAACGAUUCUUUCUCUUUUGCAGUCCCCCGGUAUCUUGUAUGUAUCAUUGAUAUUCAAUUAGCGGUAGCCCGUUUUAUUAUUCAUUUCAUUACCAGGUCUAGCCUCUUAAUCAACUUCUACACCCUUAUCUCUAACAACUCCGGUAUCUUAGAGUGGAUUCUUCGCUUGAAGGCAAUGAAUAAAACUAUCUCACCAAUUCGUCUACCUAAUUCCUCCGUCUCAAUACUUUUCGUUCGUUUCUCUCUUUCUCUUCAUUUUCACUUUUUUCUUCUUUUUCCCUCAAAUCCUUUUGCACAUACACCCCUCUUUGUUUCCAACCUUUUCUACAUUCCUUUUUACAAUUCCACCUCGUUCCUCUCUUUUCUUCUUCUCUUCCUCUCUUCCUCUAUCUCUUGAACUUCCUCCUGUUUCCCCUCCUAUACACAUCUGCCUCGUCCAUCCUUUUCCCACCCAACGAAGCAUUGUCUUUUCCGUCCAUCCUUCUUAAGAGUGUCAGUUCUCUCUGGCAGCUGGCUCUUUGUGUACCACCGCGUCUGUCUUUACAAUUCGCAGGCUUUUCCACUGUCUUUCACUCAUUUUUACUCUCGUUCCUCUUCCUCAUGCCCAUUAUCUCUGUCACCUUCCAUGCAGCAGAGCACGCCCACUUUCCCGCUCUAUCCUUCGGCCCGGUAUACGCAAUUUUCCAUCGUCCCUCCAACUGCUGUCCCCUACCCCCUACCCCACUUACCUCCUGUCCUCUCGUUUUCAUCUUUUCUAUCCCAUCGUUCUCCUCCCCCUCUCCUCUCUUCAUUCGCGUCCACGCUCUUCAUCCGUGUUCUCACUCUUUAUCCCCACCAUUACUACUCUAGCGUUCUCUACCUACCCUAUCGACUUUACAGUGCUCAAUGUCUCCCUUUUUCUCUCAUAUACUGUCCUUUCUUCGUCAUUCUACCAACUCGUCCCUCCCCUACACGCCACCACUCCUCUUCACCGUUAUUUAUCUCGCCUAUUCCCCCUUCAAACAGGCUGCUUCUGGUGUAUCAGUUCUCGUCCCUCUUCCACGCAUAUCCCUCUCGUUCAACGCCAGACAGUGUGUCAACACCUGCACUACACACACUAUGGUCUUCGUGUUGCCUUUCUUCCCUUUUUUCUUCCCCUUGCUUUCUUCUUCGCUUUUUUUUCAAUUUCCUUCUUCUUUUAACUCUUCGAUUCGGAUUAGGUUUAUCCCUCCCUUGUAAUUUGAUGUUUUAUUUGUUUUAUUUAUUUCGUUAGAGUAGAUUUCUAUUCACGUGACUCUGUUGGUGGGUAAAUAAUUUGUACAUAUGUGAUGUGUUGUAACAUAUGUGAACUUAGAUUAUAUUGUGUAGCAAAUUAGCCCUGUUGUUAUUACAUGUAUUGUUGUAAAUAUAGAAACGAGACGAAUUUAUGUUAUUAAUCAACAUAAUUGAAGUUCGUAUAACAGACGUUCACGUUAGUGUGCAUGAGUUCAACUGCCAGCAGUUAGCUUAACCUAUUAGCUGAGUUUAACGAGAAAUGGCUAUAAUCAAAACAUUAAGAAUGAAUCAAAUGGAUCGAGUUUCACCUUUGUAAAUCUAUUUUUCAAAUUUUCAGCUGGAAUUUCAACGCAGUAUAAUAUACAAAUAUACUAUAUCGUGUUUCAAGGGAGGUAGCAUUGUUUGAGGAGGGAUUGUGAGUUUUGCAAGUUCGGUUUGGAGAAGUUUGCGAUGGGAUUAACUGCAUGAUUGUGUCGACGCUGUUUCUGUCGCGUGGGCCGUACUAGUCGUACAUGCACCACGGCAGAGCGCGGAUGGAUAUCUGGAUUUAAAAUCUUUUGCGCAAAAUGGCGCAUUGCUAUAGAGAUAUUAAGAAUUGUUGAUUUAUAUAGGGACUUGGCGAUUAGCAGUUAAAUAUACAAAGGACGCGAAAAUUAAAGACUUUCAAAUAUUAUGAUAUUAUUUUUGGUUAAUGUUUUAAUAUCUUGAGUUUUCAUAUUUUUUAUACUUUUAACUGCAAUGGUAAUAUUUUGUGACAUAUACAUCUAUAUUUACAAUGAAAUAUCGCAUAUUUUUCGACCUGGCGAGAAGGCAGUAUCCAAUUUUUAAAAAUAAACGUAACAGAAGAUGUUUUCUCUUUGAAGCAUUUAAAAGUAGCAUGAAAAUAGAAAAAAACGUGGAGUUGUGCGGCGAAAACGGGAAGUCACGAAGAAUCAGUCCCGCGGGCGUUAACCAGACUUCCGGCGUAAUUAAUUUCCGAUCGAUGAGAAAGUUAGCGGAAGAUUUAAUGUUCCUAGAGUUAUUACAUUCCUUCCAAACUCUUCACCGGAAGUAUAAGUAUAUCCCUUGGGAGGAAAAUCCCUUCAAAACGAUUUCUCUAAUUAUAUCCUUUAUCGAAGGUCACAGAAGUACAACGCCUUUCAUAAGUCGCCAAACAUUUACCAGGUUUAAUCUUUUAAGACAUAUCUAUUGACAUGGACUGGCUUAUAAAAGUAUUUGGAUGUUUAUCAUAAAAACUUUUAUGUCCAUAUUGUAUUUACUGUAUAAAACGUUUUAAAAUUUUAUUAGUAUUGUAAGAAGACACAAUACACGACAUAAUAUGAUAGUGGCCUUUGUUUGAAUAGAGGAGUGUUAGCAAUAGUAAAAGAACUCUUAUUUAAUUUUCAUGGUAGAAGGGAAAUAAAAUAUGAAGGAUAUAUAAUUUUCCAUUCUUUACCUUUUUUCGUUAAUUCAAGCAUGAUUUCAAAAGAUAUAGUGAAUUUUAUUGUAAAUAAAUAUGAUCGAAUUACUUAAAUAUGAUCGAAUUGUACACAAUUUUCGAAUGAAUAGUUAAACUUAACAUUAAAGUGUAUAUUGCAUAUCUAGGAAAGAUAAAAAAUAAUUAUCUAUUUUUGAUGUAUAUGAAUUUUUUCUUGAAUAAGUAUAUAAUUUUUUAUUACAAGUUAUAUAAUUUUUCUUAAAACAGGUUUAUGAUAAGAUUUUUGAGAUAUAAUAUAAUUUAGUUUUCCUUCUAUUACACCCGGUUAAUAAGUGUCAGCUUCAUCUUGUAAUUAUAACGGUCAUUUAUCCCUAGCCUGAAUGUAUAGUUGGUGGAAGAGAUAUAGUGAGGUCGUAAAUUAAGGUAUUAAUCGGCGGACCCAAGAAAAAGAUUAAUGGACUACAUAUCUCAUUAAAAAAAGUUAUAUAAUCCUCUAUUCUUUUCCUAGAUCUAAGUGCAUUAUAGUUCGUAUUGUUAUAGUAUUUAUUGCUAAAAAACGAAUCUAUUUCGAAAAGACAAAUAAUAAUUGUUGAAUAAUUUGACGAACUAUUAUAAAUAUCCACUGUGUUACUGUAUAUCGUGCUUUCUAUAUGUAGGGUCUACAGGACGAGUUAACUCCGUUACUCUCAUAAUUAGCUAAUCCUACUAAUAAUAACAACUUAUGUUACCGUGUUUUAAAAAUAUACAAAUUAACGCAUGGUAGUGAUAUAUCUGAUUUCUGAAUGGUAGUAUAUUUUUCUUACGUCACGACUACCGUUAAUCUUGAGAAACAUUCGCCAUCUUCACUGCGUACUUUCCUUUUAUCAAGUUUGUAUGAUUGAACCUAACCUAUCUUGUUAUUGCAAUUAGACUACCGCUUUGCUUCUAUAAUUAGUUAAUCCUAUUAGCGACUUGUAUGCACAUUUAAAGAUCAUUUAAAUUAACACAUGCAACUGAUGUGAGUAUCCAUCGAUUUAUGAAUUAGAUAUAUGUAUUGUAUAUUUCAUGUUUCACAUUCAUCCUAUUGCUACCCUUCCGAUUCUCCUAAUUCCAACGAGACCGAUUUCUUUUCCGUUAUUAUUUUCCUGUCCAAUACCAUUUCUACUAUAUUCAAUAAGGCAAUGAACCAAUUAGUCGAUAAAAAAACUUUUUCGAUCUCCAACUUCCCCCACCACUACCCUUUCCUCUCCUUCCCCUCCUUUCCUCCUUCGACCAAAGUGCUCCACCUAUUCUUUUUUCGCCUGUUCCAACUUCAGCAGCGUCCAUUUUUACUUCUUGCUCAAACUCUUCCUUUUGUUAUUUUUCCUCCGACCACCUUUUAGGCGGGUUUCCACCGGGGAGUUUCUCUUUCACGAUUCACUCGACGCCCACCGUGGACGAGGUGACCGUGCAGAACGAUCGGAUUAAUUUUUUUUUUCUUCCCCUUUUCCUUCUUCUUCUUCCCCUUUUUUCUUCUUCUUCUUCCUUUUUUCUUUUUUGUCGUUGAAAUCCAUGAGGCUUAUGAAUCAAUUUUUUAAUCACUCGAUUACAUCAACCAUCAGUUCCGUUUCAGAUAUAUAGACAUAGGUGCUUUUCCUUUUUCUUUUUCUUUCCCUAUUUUUUCUUUGACUUCUUCUUUUUCUUUGUCGUUAUAAUCCACGAGGCCUCUGUAUCAAUAUUUUAAUCACUCGAUUACAUCAGCCAUCAGUUUAGUUUCCAAUACAGGUACUGCUGCAUUUUAUUUCUUUUUCUUUCUCUAUUUUUUGUUUGAUUUCUCUCGUUUUUUUCCGUCGUUGAAAUCUAUGAAGCUUAUGAAUCAAUAUCUUAAUCAUUCGAUUACAUCAGCCAUCAGUUUCGUUCCCGAUACAGACAUGGUUGCUCUUUUUCUUCUCCCUCUACCUCUUUCUCUUUUUCUAUUUUUUGUUUGAUUUCUUCUUCUUUUUUUUUCGUCAUUAAAAUCUAUGAGGAUUAUGAAUUAAUUAUUUAAUCACCCGUUUACAUCAGUUACCAGUUCCGUUUCCGGUAAAGACAGGUUCUUUUUCUCUUUUCGCUGCUUAUUACGAUUACCUUUUUCGAAUACUUCGUUAAACUUCCACGCCAACUACUCCAUCUAACACGAUCUUUCUCUCAUUCACGCACACAGCUUCACUACAUUCGCCUGUCUAAGUAAGAACAUCUUUCGUUAGUUAAACAUAACUUUGCUAUGAGUUGUGAGGGUAAGGUUGUCGUUUCCUUCAUUGUUGGAGUUGUGUUCUUCUUCUUUUGUUGGGUCACUGUUUGUUUGUUCUUUAAGAGAGAGAGAAAGAGAGAGAGAUUUGAGGUUGGGAUUGGUUUGAUACACUUUAGGCUUCGUUACUUUUUUAGUAAUUUUUCAAAGUAACAUUUAUGGAACGAUGCGAAAAGUGAGGUUAAGUAGAGUAAAAUGUAAAAAUAGAUAGAUAUCGAUAUCGAGAUUGAACAAUUUCAGUACCACCAUUCGCAUUUUCGAUUGUACGAAAUUUUCAAAUUUUAAUUCUUCAACAUUUUCAAAAUUUCAAAUUCUCAUACUUCUAAAAUUCAUCGUGCAAUGGUAUCAUGUUUACUCAAAUUCUAUGCGCUACUUUACUGCUUGGUCCUUGAUUGGUUAUUUACGAUACUAAAAACAAAUGAAAUAUGUUUUUAUUUCGGUUUUAAGAAUAUUAUUCAACAAAAUCAUUUAAUCUGACAUCGACGAUAAAUAUUUCAUAAUGUACAUCGUGCACGUGCGACGUACAGCGUUGGUUUGAGAAUCGCUGUGCUAAAUAAUUCGAAACUCUGCCAUCCGAUACAAAACUACAGUUCAAUAGUAUUGGACAUUUAAAAAUAGAUAUGCAGUAGCAGACAAAAGGAAAUUUAAAAUUGAUGCCCAUAUCUAUAUACGUAUGAAUUUCCAGUAAUUUUUGUAUUUCACGCCGUGCUAUACGUAUGUACCUAUAUAUUUACAUCGUAUUUAUUCAUUGCUUUCCGCGAUAAAUACUCACACUAAAUUUCACUUCCUACGCUUUUAUAUUUUAUUUGCCUUUUAUUUCAUCGUUUAUUUUACUUUUUUCUUCUUUAACUCUAACCUUACCAGGCUCGGUUUCAAACUUUAAUUUAAAAUUUUACAUUCAUUAUUAUUCCUUUUGUUCAUCUGACUUUAUGUAAACCCUUAUAUUAUUUGAACAAUCAAUUUCUCAAUUUUUGUUA
Molecule: long non-coding RNA, 6267 nt
Organism: Bombus impatiens (common eastern bumble bee)
Lineage: Eukaryota; Metazoa; Arthropoda; Insecta; Hymenoptera; Apidae
Exons: 4
Source: RefSeq, a predicted model, not a curated record